Neoarius graeffei (lesser salmon catfish) is the source of this 1352-nucleotide long non-coding RNA. RefSeq lists it as uncharacterized. The transcript is spliced from 3 exons. The record is from RefSeq and is a predicted model, not a curated record. NCBI's taxonomy places the organism in Eukaryota, Metazoa, Chordata, Actinopteri, Siluriformes, Ariidae.
ACAACACUGCGCGUUUUAAGCUGAAGAGCGCGAGACACCGUGUCCGGUUCCUUCCAGCGUCUUUGGCGAGGAGGUGGUUAUGGAGGAGGUGGUUAUGGAUCGUAGCGUUCCCAGGUUCACAAGGAUUCAUCACAUGCUAGAAGCAGUCCUCCGAUUCCUCAUGUGUGGUUGUGGAGAGUCAGGGGAAGAUCAGGUUCAUCAUCCUGUGCAGGAAGCAGCAAGUGCCUUGGAAAUGCCUAUAAACCAGAGUUCUGUAAGACCCUGGUACUGAAGAAUGUUCUUCCUGAUGCAUCACCCUGCUACCCAACAAUGAACCACUGCAGAACAAGGACACUCGACGUUGUUAUCCAGGUUGCAGUGCAGACAUCGGAGUCCUCUUAUUACAUGUGGCUUCUGACUGUUCCACGCCUGCAAACUAAUCACUCGAGUUACUUCCAUCACCGACAAAACUGGAAGAAUCGGUGCUUCCAGGUGAAUCCUCAAAACUUGGGUAGAAAAAAUGGUGCUUUAUGGAUGUCCUUGUCCUCAGGGAAAUAUGUGGUUUCACUGGAAUGGCUUACUGGCUGACCCCUCUGCUUCUUUGUAAAUUAAGCGUUUUGUGGAAAAUGGCUCUUCUGAUUUAUUCUCAGAAAAUGUGAUGAGUAACGGUAAAGACAUCUUUAAUUUUACUUAAAAUCCCUGUAAAUAUAUUUAAUGGACGAAAAGCAUUUCUCAUGAGCUCCCAAAGUAAGAGAUCAUUAUUAUGAAAAAAUAAUGCCCAGUUCUCUUUACUGUUACCCUAUAGAGUAAUGGUAAAGACAACACUGGGUAACAGUAAGGACCUUUCAUGGCAUUUUUGGGUCACUGAGUACAGAAAAAAAAUAUGCAUUUAUUACCCCAUCCUAACUUGCUACUUGGCUAACUAAACUUUUAACAUGUAGUGUCAUCAUCAUUUGGGAGUAACCACAAAAUCAGUUAAUUUCCCUGACAUCUCAAUUUCAUAUUUACCUGAUCAAUAUCCUGGAUUCCAACAUUCAUGCACCAGUGUUUUUUAAACUGCUCUGUUGAAUUCUUUCUUAAAAUACAUGUAUAAUAGAGGGCCAGGAUUAUUGGCUUGUUUUUUUUGUGGGGGGGACUUCGUUUAAAACUCACAUUUUCUGAGGAUGGCCCAGAAAUGCAUUUUGCAUUUUUAUAUUACUAUUUUUACACUGCAUAUAAUUUUAUACUGCUUUUCUUAAUGUUGCUUGCAAACUUGUGCCUACAUAUGAAGGACAAUUUGACAUAAGAAAAUGGCCUUAUCAAAUUGCCUUAAUUCUUAGCACUUUGAGAAGUGUGCGCACAUCACUGUGUCCAAAAUCAUGACUGUCAGGUGG